AGUUAAUGAACUUGUAAUAAGUAUAUAUUUUGAAAAUAUAAAAAAGGGUUAAAUUCCCUAUUAACUU
RNAcentral lists this transfer RNA (67 nucleotides) under Aulacophora indica. RNAcentral's name for it is "tRNA-Ser". The record is from RNAcentral. RNAcentral also lists the same sequence under 1 other name. Lineage: Eukaryota; Metazoa; Arthropoda; Insecta; Coleoptera; Chrysomelidae.